Molecule: non-coding RNA, 1364 nt
Organism: Vicugna pacos (alpaca)
Lineage: Eukaryota; Metazoa; Chordata; Mammalia; Artiodactyla; Camelidae
Source: RefSeq, a predicted model, not a curated record
AACAAAAAUUGUACAAAACGAAGCCUCUGCUGUAUGAUCUCUUUAGAAGCAAUUCUCCUUGAGGCGAUAGUUGUGACCCUGGGAGAGAGUGGCAGGAGUGCUGUCGGAGUGGUGGCAGAAGAGGCAAGACGAAACCUGGCAAACUGGCUGCACGCACUUGACCCAUCCCGGGACCUGAGUUUAAGAGUCUGCCCCGGAGUCGAGCAGACCCCUGGGUGGGAAGGCCCCCUACUCCUGACAUUUUCAUACCGACUCGUGCAGAUCCUCCACCCCAGCCAUCCCCAAUUUGCGCGGUUGCUCUGAGGAAGGGGUUGGUGAAUAUCGCCCUCUCCCGGAUCCCUGAAAACUCUCCCCAGCCAGCUGAAUCCGCUCCUUUCCAAGUUCGGCGUCCUGCAUGCGGGACCUCUAGCCCAAGGCGUCCGUGCCCGCUGCGAGUCCCCUUUCCCCAGGCCGAGGACUCCAGUCUCGGAUCCCGCACCUGGGCCUCGAUCUGCGGAGCUUAAAAUUAAGCAGCAGGGAGACAGCUGAGUCCAGCUGCUUGCCCCAUUGACAGCCCUGCCUCCCAAGUUGGGUUCAUCUCUGACUAUCUGGUUGGUACAUGACGUCAGCCCAGAUCCGGGUGUGCUGCUCCAGAGGUGAUAAAACCCGCUCCCUGCCACUGGCUUACCCUUUAUCAACUCAAAGCUGGUAAAAGCCAGGCUGGAUGGAGGUGGGUGAUUACCAAGCCGACACAGACACUCACUCUCUCACUUUCUCCUUACUCACCCAGUGCUUCCACCUCCAUUCAGGCAAACAUCUUGAUUUACUUGGAGACCCUAGCAGUUUCCCCCUCUAUGCUGCCUGACCUUUGGGAAUGUUCUUGUGACCAGUCAGCGGAUGGGGGAAUCAGGAACCUACUAGGACUUGAAUAAUAGAAAAUCUGUAGGAUUUGGCUUCUCUAGGAUUUGCAUAAUAGAAAAUCUCAAUAAUGGAAAACCAGUGUGCACGAUAAAAAGAUAUUCAUGUACUUUUACCAAUGGUUCUAUAAAAGACAUGAUUAAGAUGAUAAUUCCUGAAACCUGGGUGGUUUUACUUUAUUUUUAUUAUAGAAGAAGCCAGAAGACUAUAUCCAUCAGAGAUGACCUGCCAAUUGUAUUGUAUAACCCCCUGCAUGCUGGCAUCUGAGCUUUCACAAAGGUCAUCACUUUAAUCAUUUUAAUAAUAGGUAAGGAAUAGAAUGUGUAACUUUAGGCACAGUAUGAGUUCUUUGACUCCUCCCUUUAAAUUUGUUUUACAGCCUAAUUCUUUUAUUUUUUAUUGAAGUAUAGUCGAUUUACAAUGUUGUGUUUCUGGUGUAAAGCAUAGUGAUUCAGUUAUACAUAAAU